RNAcentral lists this ribosomal RNA (253 nucleotides) under uncultured bacterium. RNAcentral's name for it is "partial 16S ribosomal RNA". It matches the Rfam family "Bacterial small subunit ribosomal RNA", at positions 524 to 776 of the family's 1533-position model. The record is from RNAcentral.
GACAGAGGGUGCAAACGUUGUUCGGAAUUACUGGGCGUAAAGCGCGUGUAGGCUGCUCAGAAAGUCGGAUGUGAAAGCCCUGGGCUUAACCUAGGAAGUGCAUUCGAAACUUCUGAGCUAGAGUUCUGGAGAGGAAGGCGGAAUUCUCGGUGUAGAGGUGAAAUUCGUAGAUAUCGAGAGGAACACCGGUGGCGAAGGCGGCCUUCUGGACAGUGACUGACGCUGAGACGCGAAAGCGUGGGGAGCAAACAGG